CCUACGGGAGGCGGCAGUGGGGAAUAUUGGACAAUGGGCGAAAGCCUGAUCCAGCAAUGCCGCGUGAGUGAUGAAGGCCUUAGGGUUGUAAAGCUCUUUUACCAGGGAUGAUAAUGACAGUACCUGGAGAAUAAGCUCCGGCUAACUCCGUGCCAGCAGCCGCGGUAAUACGGAGGGAGCUAGCGUUGUUCGGAAUUACUGGGCGUAAAGCGUGCGUAGGCGGCUAUUCAAGUCAGAGGUGAAAGCCCGGGGCUCAACCCCGGAACUGCCUUUGAAACUAGAUAGCUAGAAUCUUGGAGAGGUCAGUGGAAUUCCGAGUGUAGAGGUGAAAUUCGUAGAUAUUCGGAAGAACACCAGUGGCGAAGGCGACUGACUGGACAAGUAUUGACGCUGAUGUACGAAAGCGUGGGGAGCAAACAGGAUUAGAUACCCUGGUAGUCCACGCCGUAAACGAUGAUAACUAGCUGUCCGGGCACUUGGUGCCUGGGUGGCGCAGCUAACGCAUUAAGUUAUCCGCCUGGGGAGUACGGUCGCAAGAUUAAAACUCAAAGGAAUUGACGG
This 561-nucleotide ribosomal RNA is filed under the name uncultured bacterium. Its description in RNAcentral is "bacterial SSU rRNA". It matches the Rfam family "Bacterial small subunit ribosomal RNA", at positions 338 to 916 of the family's 1533-position model. The record is from RNAcentral.